RNAcentral lists this ribosomal RNA (253 nucleotides) under uncultured bacterium. RNAcentral's name for it is "partial 16S ribosomal RNA". It matches the Rfam family "Bacterial small subunit ribosomal RNA", at positions 524 to 776 of the family's 1533-position model. The record is from RNAcentral.
UACGAAGGGUGCAAGCGUUACUCGGAAUUACUGGGCGUAAAGCGUGCGUAGGUGGUUUGUUAAGUCUGAUGUGAAAGCCCUGGGCUCAACCUGGGAAUUGCAUUGGAUACUGGCAGGCUAGAGUGCGGUAGAGGAUGGCGGAAUUCCCGGUGUAGCAGUGAAAUGCGUAGAGAUCGGGAGGAACAUCUGUGGCGAAGGCGAGUCUCUGGACAAAUCCUGACGCUGAGGCACGAAAGCUAGGGGAGCAAACAGG